GAACACAGUAAACAAAAAUAUGGAUGUGGAAUCUAAAACCUUGCUGAGAAACUGCCUCCAAUGUUGCUCCCUUAACUUUCACUGUGGAAAACUCUGAAGGAAGUUGGCCGCACCAUUUAAUGGAAGCAUGAGGAACUAGUCUCUUUCCUUUAGAUAUGUAUGAAAAUGGCUCCACUGUGACUCAGCAGAUGGCUCCACUGUGACUCAGCAGAUCUCCAGGAUUUUCCUGUGUAGUUUCUGUUUUGGCUUUCAUCUGGUGGGAACUGACUGCUACAGGACCGAGGCUUUUAAAUCAAACCCAAAUAACAAAAUGUAUUUAGAGCUGAAAAAGGUGGUGCCAUCAGGCUGGGGUGGGGAUGAGGAAGUGAUUCAUUACCCCAGUUGGAAUGUAAAUUCAAUGAGUUUAAUUACUAGUGGUGUCAAAAAAGGAUUUUCACUGAUAGCAAUAUUCUGUGUUUUUUUCUUAACUUUUAUUUUAAGUUCAGGGGUGCAUGUGCAGGUUUGUUGUAUAGGUAAACUCGUGUGAUAGGGGGUUUGUUGUACAGAUUAUUUCAUCACCCAGGUACUCAGCCUAGUAGCUAUUAAUUAUUUUUCCUGAUCCUAUCCCUCCUCCCACCUUCCAUCAUCUGUUAGGCCCCAGUGUCUGGUGUUGCCCCCAGUGUGUUCUCCUCAUUUAGCCUCCACUUAUAAGUGAGAACGUGUGGUAUUUGGUUUUCUGUUCCUGCAUGAGUUUGCUGAGGAUAAUCGCUUCCAGUUCCACCCAUGUUCCUGCAAAGAACAUGAUAUCAUUAUUUUUUGUGGCUGUAUAGUAUUCCAUGGUGUAUAUGUACCACAUUUUCUUUAUCCAAUCUACCUUUGAUGGGCAUUUAGGUUGAUCCCAUGUCUUUGCUAUUGUGAACAGUGCUGCAAUGGACAUAUUCAUAUGUGCAUAUGUUUUUAUAAUAGAAUGAUUUAUAUUUCUUUGGGUAUAUGCCCUAGCCAAGGCAAUCCUAAGCAAAAACAACAAAGCAGGGGGCAUCAUGCUACCUAACUUCAAACUAUACUACAGGGCUACAGUAAACAAAACAACAUGGUACUAGUACAAAAACAGACACAUAGAAAAAUGGAACAGAAUAGAGGGCCCACAAAUAAGCCUACAUAGUUGCAACCAUCUGAUCUUCAACAAAGUGACAAAAACAAGCAAUGGAGAAAAGACUCCCUAUUCAAUAAAUAGUGCUGGGAUAACUGACUAGCCAUAUGCGGAAGAUUGAAACUGAACCCCUUCCUUAUACCAUAUACAAAAAUCAACUCAAGAUGAAUUAAAUACUUAAAUA
Molecule: long non-coding RNA, 1313 nt
Filed under: Homo sapiens (human)
Lineage: Eukaryota; Metazoa; Chordata; Mammalia; Primates; Hominidae
Description: HSALNT0017578
Source: RNAcentral